This 164-nucleotide ribosomal RNA is filed under the name Brachypodium boissieri. RNAcentral's name for it is "5.8S ribosomal RNA". It matches the Rfam family "5.8S ribosomal RNA". From Rfam's summary of the family: 5.8S ribosomal RNA (5.8S rRNA) is a component of the large subunit of the eukaryotic ribosome. It is transcribed by RNA polymerase I as part of the 45S precursor that also contains 18S and 28S rRNA. Lineage: Eukaryota; Viridiplantae; Streptophyta; Magnoliopsida; Poales; Poaceae. The record is from RNAcentral.
GACACGACUCUCGGCAACGGAUAUCUCGGCUCUCGCAUCGAUGAAGAACGUAGCGAAAUGCGAUACCUGGUGUGAAUUGCAGAAUCCCGCGAACCAUCGAGUCUUUGAACGCAAGUUGUGCCCGAGGCCACCCGGCCGAGGGCACGCCUGCCUGGGCGUCACGC